This 408-nucleotide ribosomal RNA is filed under the name uncultured bacterium. Its description in RNAcentral is "bacterial SSU rRNA". It matches the Rfam family "Bacterial small subunit ribosomal RNA", at positions 955 to 1362 of the family's 1533-position model. The record is from RNAcentral.
UUUAACGCGAAGGACCUUACCCACCUUUGACAUGGCAGGAACUUACCAGAGAUGGUUUGGUGCUCGAAAGAGAACCUGCACACAGGUGCUGCAUGGCUGUCGUCAGCUCGUGUCGUGAGAUGUUGGGUUAAGUCCCGCAACGAGCGCAACCCUUGCCAUUAGUUGCUACAUUCAGUUGAGCACUCUAAUGGGACUGCCGGUGACAAACCGGAGGAAGGUGGGGAUGACGUCAAGUCCUCAUGGCCCUUAUAGGUGGGGCUACACACGUCAUACAAUGGCUGGUACAAAGGGUUGCCAACCCGCGAGGGGGAGCUAAUCCCAUAAAGCCAGUCGUAGUCCGGAUCGCAGUCUGCAACUCGACUGCGUGAAGUCGGAAUCGCUAGUAAUCGGGAUCAGCAGUCCCCCCGG